ACGGGUACAGUGAGGCGAAACUCACCUCGAUAUGCGUGUAGGAAACCACCAUUGCAACGAAGAACUCUACCAACUUCAACUCACAUUUCUCCUAUAGGAAGAUACUAGAGUCAAUAUGUGAUCACAGGUCAUAGUUACUUGCAACAGUGACUAUUUCAAAUGAAAUGGCGAUUAGGGUUCCACAUAAAAUGGCGAUUAGGGUUAAGUAUGGACAUUUAACCCAUUAAGGACUUAAUCACCUAAGGGUAGGACUGAUUAAGGUUUGGCCUAGUCAUUCUCAGGUAUAAUAAUAAUCCAAGCAAUAUCCGAAAUUCACGCCCCGAUCAUUGUCCAAAAUAGGGCUUCCCGAUUCUAGGGUUUGAGCCAUAAGAACAUUCCUAUGUGCACAUGGAAACCCUAAUGCUUGGAUCUAGGUUUCUCUAAUGAAGAUGCUUUUCAUCCAAAACUUGCAAACCCUAAAUCUAUGAUAUACAACUCGAAAUUGACAAGACAAAGUAGAUCUAGAUGAUUACCUCUUCUUGAAAGCUUGAAUCUUGUUAUCCUUGGAGCUUAAAGUCACAAGUGUCACUCCUCUAAUGGCUUACAAACACCAAGAAGCAAGAGGAUGAUUUGGAGAGAGGUUGUAGGCACAAAAUCGGCUCUAGGAACUCCUUAUGGUUUCUGGUAACCAGUUUUUGUAGCCCCUGGGUCCUUUAAAUACUUGAGCUGCUAGGGUUACAACCUAAAACCCUAAUUAGAUUACUUAGGCCUUAAGCAGUCCAAGGAUCCUUCUAGAUUAGGGCAUGGACAAAUUCAAGGAGUCCAUACACCUUAAUUUCGUCCACCCCAUGAUCCAUAAGGAUCCACAACCCAAAACCAACUAUCACACAAUUGAUAGUUCUAGUCUCCUUUAUUUAAUUAAUCUCUUUUAGCCACAUAAUUGAUUCUUAAUUAAUUAUUGUCUAAUAUUAAUUAAACUAUAUGAUUUCUCCUUUAAUGUAUUAAUCAUAUAAUAUAUUAAUAAACCAUAAUAACCUCUUUAUUUAUAAAUCAUCCUAUCAUGUUGCUCUGGUGAAGGCAACCCAAAAGGACCAUGCAUAAUCGGGUCAAGUACUUACCAAAUAUAGUUACGGGCUUAGACACUAAUCCAACAGUCUCCCACUUGGAUAAGUCUAUUAACUAUAAAUAUAAGCAUAAUCCGAUUAGCAAUCGUAGCUCUCAAAGACGCUGCCAAACUCUGAUCUUAUUAGUAACCUGUCCUUUAGAUAAGGGAUCGUAUAGCCCUCUAUUCUAGAUAUCGUACGGACAAUCACAAGGAACAUAGUCAUACUUAUUGUCCAACAGUUUGUUUCUCGAUCUCAAAUUCAUUUGACAUAGAACUUAAUUGAACACAUCAAUUCAGUCAUGACCGGGCCCGAUACAUAAGUCAAAUCAAAUCAUCGAGGGGCCCUGAUAUCGCUUUUACCCUCUUAGGAUAAAAGGAACAGAUAAACUUCGACUUAUAUGUAUUUACUAUUCACUAAUCAAAUCAUACACAACAAUGCGUUUUAUGACAUCAAGUUAAUGAUGCGUUUUCGCAUUAUCAAUGCACAACCAAUCAGCAAACAAUAAACCAUAUAUCUAGGUUUUAAGACCAUAUGAUAUUAUCUUCGUGCGAUCAGUCAUGAUGAAUUCCAUGAAGUGAUUCCAGCAAGCGUGGGUUUAUUCCAAUGCUCAAAACUUGUUCAUAAGCACUCAUGAACGUUUAAUACCUUUUAGACAAUCUACACACCUAUUCAUGACAGUCUUCAUUCAUACCUACUUCCAACAUAUGAACGACUGUGGACCGUUGGAAUAAUUCGAUUAUUCUCAAAUAACUCAAUUAUUCAGGAAGUAUAAACAUGCAAAGUGAAACAAUAGUUAAACAAUUAACAUAAUACAUUAACUUUACUUAUAAAUAAUAAUCAUUUAUUUAAUCAUCAAAUGUUAAUUACAUUUAUCUAUUACAUGUUUCUAAACUAUAUAAUCUAAAUUAAUAUCGUCCUUCAGCCCAAUUCUCCAAGCGUGCAGCAAGUGCUUAACCCUACUCAGUCCCUUUGUAAGCGGAUUGUUGGGUUAUCCUCUGACGAUACCCUAUUCACUACGAGGAGUCCUUCUACCCGAUGCCGAAUAAAGUGAUAUUUUCUGUCGAUAUGUCGAGAUCUACCAUGAUUCCUCGGUUCCUUGGUCAAGGCAAUCACUCCUUCAUUAUCACAGAAAAUUUCCAUGGGCUCCUUUAUGGCAGGCACAACUCCAAGGUCUCCAAUAAAGUUCUUCAACCAUAUCGCCUCCUUUGACGCUUCACUCGCUGCAAUGUACUCUGAUUCGCACGUUGAAUCAACUAUGGUUUCUUGCUUGGAACUUUUCCAAGUCACUGCUCCUCCAUUAAGGGUAAAGACCCAUACCGACUGCGAACGGUAGUUGUCCCUGUCGGUCUAAAAACUGGCGUCACUAUACCCUCGCACUUUUAAGUCAUCACUCCCAUCGAGGACUAGAAACCAUUCCUUGGUCCUCCGAAGGUACUUAAGAAUAUUCUUGACUGCGGUCCAAUGUGCUUUGCCAGUGUUCCCUUGAUAUCUGUUGACCAUACUUAAAGCGAAAGCCACAUCAGGGCGAGUAAAAGUCAUAACAUACAUGAUCGAGCCAACUGCGGAAGCGUAAGGUACUUGGCUCAUCUCUGCUAUCUCGGCUUCGGUACUUGGACUUUGAGUCUUACUCAACUUGGCAUUACUUUGGAUCGGUAACUCUCCCUUCUUUGAGUUUUCCAUACCAAAACGUUUUAGUACCUUGUCCAAGUAAGUAUUUUGACUAAGUCCUAUUAGUCUCUUACUUCUGUCUCUCACUAUCCUUAUUCCCAAAAUAUAGGAAGCAUCUCCGAGGUCCUUCAUAGCGAAGCACUUCCCGAGCCAGGACUUAACCUCCUGCAGUGUCGGGAUGUCGUUUCCUAGGAGAAGUAUGUCAUCGAUAUACAAUACGAGGAAGCUCACUAUACUCCCACUGGCUUUGACAUAUACAAAUGAUUCAUCUUCGCUUCGUAGAAACCCAAACUCUUUAACUUUCUCAUUGAAACAAAGAUUCCAUCUGCGAGACGCUUGCUUAAGUCCAUAGAUGGACUUCUCAAGCUUACACGCUCUAUUGGGAUGCUUCGCAUUGACAAAACCCUCUGGCUGAGCCACGUAAACAUCCUCAACCAACUUCCCAUUAAGGAAAGUGAUUUUGACAUCCAUUUUCCAUAUUUCAUAAUCAUGAAAUGCAGUAAUGGCCAGCAUCACCCUAAUAGAUUUUAUCUUGGAAACCGGUGAGAAGGUUUCAUCGUAGUCAAAUCCGGGAGUUUUGAGUAAAACCCUUCGCGACCAAUCGCGCCUUAUAUGUGUGCACAUUCCCAUGUAUGUCGGUCUUCUUCUUGAAGAUCUAUUUGCACCCGACCAUCUUACGUUCGGGCACAUGGUCAACCAAAUUCCAAACUUGGUUGUCGUACAUGGAUUGAAUCUCGCUGUCCAUCGCCUCUUUCCAUUUUGCAGACUCUGGGCCUGCCAUGGCUUCCUUAUAGUUGUUAGGUUCGUCCAAAUUUAUUUGUGUACUAUCACUAAUAUAUGUGUACCCUUCUAUAGUAAUAUGGAAACCAUAUAACUAGGGUUGAACUCUAACUCUUUCAGAAUGUCUAAGAGGUAAAGACUCGUCAAUCGGUUUAACCGGAGUUUCCUCCUCGGGUUGAGCGUCAGCGUUAGAGGUUCCUUCAUCUCCCGACUCUUGAAUUUCUUCAAGAUCGAUUUGCCUCCCAUUGUGUCAUUGGCUUAUGAGUUCUCUCUCUUGGAAAACCCCUCUCCUCGCAACGAAGACAACAUUGUCACUCGAUCUAUAGAAGAGAUAUCCAAAGGAUUUCUGUGGGUAGCCGAUGAAAAUACACCGCUCACUAUGAGGUUCGAGCUUUUCGUAAGUUUCUCGUCUUACGAAAGCCUCGCAACCCAAACCUUGAUAUGUGCCAACGAGGGAGCCUUCCCUGUCCACAUCUCAUGAGAUGUUUUGGCAACCUUCUUCGUAGGGACUAAGUUAAGGAUAUGGGCGACAGUCUCUAAGGCAUACCCCUAGAAUGAGAUAGGUAGUGAAGCACGACUCAUCAUGGAACGAACCAUGUCCAACAAGGUUCGAUUAUGCCUCUCAGCCACACCGUUCAACUAUGGUGUCCUAGGUGGCGUCAAUUGCGAAACUAUUCUGCAUUCCUUGGGAUAGUCGUGGAAUUCAAGACUUAGGUACUCUCCUCCUCGAUUGGAUCGAAGCAUCUUGAUUUUCCUGCCCAAUUGAUUCUCCACUUCUUGUUUAAACUAUUUGAACUUAUCAAAGGUUUCUGACUUGUGCUUGAUUAAGUAGAUAUACCCAUAUCUGCUAUAGUCUUCGGUGAAAGUCACAUAGAAGCAGUUCACAUCCCUUGUGGUGGAUCUAACGGGCCCACAUACAUCGGUGUGUAUGAGAUCCAAUAGACCCUUUUCAUAAGAGCCAGUGAAGGGUGACUUGGUCAUCUUUCCAAGUAAACAAGACUCGCACACAUCAUCGUACCUAAGGUUGAAUAACUCCAACACUCCAUCCUUUUGGAGUUGGCCUAUGCGUUUCUUGUUAACAUGUCCAAGACGACAAUGCCACAAGCAUGCUUUAUCCAUACUAUUGGAAGAAUCCAUACACAACACAUCAUUUCCUAAGUUAUCUACAACCAUCACAGUUUCAUAAAUUCCAUUACAAGGUAAUGCCUCGAAAUAUAAAACACCAUUUAGAUAAGCAUAAAUAGAACCUUUCUCAUUAUCAAAUGAAUAUCUAAAUCCUUGUCUAAACAAACCAUGAAAUGAAAUGAUGUUUCUUGCCAUAUCUGGCGAAUAACAACAAUUAUUUAAAUCUAAUCCUAAUCCAUUACUAAGCGUUAGAGAAUACACUCCAAUCUUGGUAACAGGCAAUGAUCUUCUGUUCCCCAUGAUUAGAUUUAUCCUUCCACGCUCCACAUCCCUAUCUCUUCUUAGUCCCUGCAAAUCAGAACAUAUGUGAAAACCACAUCCUGUAUCAAGAAUCCAAGAAAUAGCAUGUGAUGAAUCAUUAGAUUUAAUUGUGUAAAUACCUACGAAAGAUGGCUUGAUCUUCCCAUCCUUGAUGGCUUGCAGAUAUUCCGGGUAGCUUCUCUUCCAAUGCCCUAUCUUGUAGCAGUGGUGGCACUCUGCCUCCUUCAAGUUAGAGUUGGGCUUAGCAGAACUAACUUUGGUUCCACUAGAAGAGGUACCAUCUUGGGAUUUUCCCUUGUGAUGGCUCUUUGAAGGAUCCUUCCUCUUCUCACCCCUCCCUUGCCCAAUGGCCAAAACAGGAGCAACGGUUGGAGUGGGAGUUGAUGCAACAAACUUAUCCUUGAGAUUGCUAUCAGUAGUCCUAAGAAAUCCUUGAAGCUUGCUCAAGUGAACUCUUCCUUAUUCAUGUGGUAGGUCAUGCGGAACUGGUUAUAGCAACGAGGCAAGGAGUGAAGGAUAAUGUCAAUUGCCAGUUCUUCAUCGAACUUGACAUUCAACUUCAGCAGGUGAUCAACAUAUCUCUGCAUCUUUUGCAGAUAAGCGGUAAGGGACUCUCUAUUACCCGUUUUGGCAGUGAUCAUCGGAGUGAUGAUCUUAUACCUUUCUUGCCUCGCACAUUGGUGGUACCGGUCCACCAAGUCUUGAUGCAUCUCGUAGGGAUAGUAGUCCUCAUAGGACUUUUGUAGUUUAGCAGUCGUGGUCGCCAUCAUGAUGCAAUGGACUUUCGUGACAUCACGCUCAUGGGCCUCAAAGGCAACGAUUUCUUCGGGAGUAGCAGUGUUGAUGUUCACCUCCUUCAGCUCCUUAUCGAGGACAUACUAUUUGUCCUUGUAACGAGUGACCGUUCGGAUGUUACGGAUCCAAUCAUUGAAAUUGGACCCGUCAAAGAACACUCUCCCACACAAGUUCAUGAGCGAGAACGAGCCAGAUGAGGUUGAGCCUGAAGCGUUGUUGUUGUUUGAGUUCGACAUCUGAAGAAGAAAAGAACAAAGUUUGAUUAUAAAUGAAUCCCUAAUUAAACACCCAAAAUGAGAAAUUAGGGCUAGGAUCCAACAACAUUAUUUACAUAUUAGAAAAGGGAUGCUGUAAUCAAACAUGAAAAUAAUUUGAAGGUAAGUGAAUGACGAUUCACUAAUUCUCCACCAUGAAAAACAAAAGGAGAUUAAGUUUUAAAGGUAUUGAAAAUUCCUAGAUUCCUUUGAGAUUCAUUAAACUUUUCAAUGACAUGUUUCAAUCUCGAUAUGCUCUUCAAGUUUGUGACUGGGAUGCCGAGGAUCACAAAGCGGGUGUCAAUAACCAUGCAAAUGUACAUGGUGCCCUCAUUGUUACAGUCACUUAUCCGAUGUGCCGGUUAACCACACACGCUCCAUCGAACUAUGACAAAUAAUGAGUCACCCUUUUCCACCUUUGCUUAGAACCAAUUAGUGUGCCGGUUAACCACACACGCUCCACUAACUUCUUAGCAAGGGUGCAAAGUGUAAUUUCAUGGGAUUGCAUCAAUUCACUUUUCCUAAAGUAACUAAGAUUGAGAAUUUUGUAAAAACGUUUAGUUACUUUAUAUAGAUUCAUUAUACUUAUUAAUGAGAAAAGGGUUGUCUUAUCCUACCCGUUCGGCUACGACCCUCCACCAAUCAAGGAAGCGGUGGGUGAGAGUGGACAUCCAUUAAAUGACCAUUUUAUAGGCCAUAACCUUAUACCCCCCUUAUAGAUCGGUUUCGUGAAUGAGGCCUACUAACGGUAAGACUAGCAUUUAAGUUAUAUAUAUAUAUAUAUAUANNNNNNNNNNNNNNNNNNNNNNNNNNNNNNNNNNNNNNNNNNNNNNNNNNNNNNNNNNNNNNNNNNNNNNNNNGCCCGCCGCUUUGCGCGGGUAAACGACUAGUGUGUGUGUGUGUGUGUGUGUGUGUAUAUAUAUAUAUAUAUAUAUAUUAAUCUUAUAAUAUUAUAAAGUAUAAGGUUGAAUUUUAAACUUGUAAAAUUCUAGGGUUUGAAAUUUAAAUAGUUCAAAUUAAACAUUUUAAUCAUAAAAUUUAAAUUUCAAAACUUGAGGACAAGUUUUGAACUUUUUCAAAACACAAAGAUCAAAUAGCAAAUAAUUUUCAAUUAAACAUUUAAUUUAAUAAUUAUCUAAAUUUGACAUAUUCAAUAUUACUUGCAAGAUAAUUCAACAAUUAAUUUAAAUAAUCAAGUAUUAUCAAAUAAGGAAAUUAUUAUUUAAACAAUUGGUAAUCAUAUAUUGUUUUGAUGAGGAUAUUGAUAAAAAGGUAAUAAAAUUCGGAUUUUAUUAGACUAAAACAAUUUAGGUAAUUAUCCUUAAGCAAAAUAGCAAGAAAUCUCGAUAUUCAAUAUUACUUGCAAGAUAAUUCAACAAUUAAUUUAAAUAAUCAAGUAUUAUCAAAUAAGGAAAUUAUUAUUUAAACAAUUGGUAAUCAUAUAUUGUUUUGAUGAGGAUAUUGAUAAAAAGGUAAUAAAAUUCGGAUUUUAUUAGACUAAAACAAUUUAGGUAAUUAUCCUUAAGCAAAAUAGCAAGAAAUCUCGAAAUUCCCUCUGUCUGACUCUCUUACUCGCCGAGUCCCCUUAUGGACUCGUCGAGUUCAUCCUACUUGUCGAGUCCACAAUGGGACUCGCUGAGUUCAUCAUGUAGAGAGCAAGAAAACAAUUUUCUAAGCAAGAAUUAAAACACAAAGCAUCAAAUUCAAGAGAAGCCAGUCAAGGCUCUGAUACCACUGAUGGGUUUGAGCCAUAAGAACAUUCCUAUGUGCACAUGCAAACCCUAAUGCUUGGAUCUAGGUUUCUCUAAUGAACAUGCUUUUCAUCCAAGACUUGCAAACCCUAGAUCUAUGAUAUACAAUUCGANGUAGAUCUAGUGAUUACCUCUUAUUGAAAGCUUGAAUCUUGUUAUCCUUGGAGCUUAGAGUCACAAGUGUCACUCCUCU
Molecule: long non-coding RNA, 7972 nt
Filed under: Lactuca sativa (garden lettuce)
Lineage: Eukaryota; Viridiplantae; Streptophyta; Magnoliopsida; Asterales; Asteraceae
Description: long non-coding RNA (LSAT_LNC005739)
Source: RNAcentral